AACCGAAGUGGGGGUGCUUAACUGACUGAGCCACCCGGGCGCCCUUACAGUUAAGUUAUUGAGCCCUCACUGCGCGUGCCCCGGAGCUGGGCACUGGGGAAAUGAUGACUGAAAGAGGCGUGGCUUUGACCUCGGCAUUUAGAGUGCUAGGAGGGAAAAAGCUGACUAAUGAGUAGUGGGCAAUGACUAAACCUACCAUUUUACUGCACGCUAUAAAGGACAGAAAGGAAAAUGGGUUUAGGGAACAGGCUCCCUAGGAAACCACCGGGGGAAGGUUUCUUCAAAGAGGUGGUGUGAAAGCUGAGUCUGAAGGACAAGAAACCAGCCGCGCAGCGCAGCGUGGAGGAAGAACACUCCGGGGCCAUGGGAACAAUGAGUACAAAGCCCCAAGGUCCAGACUCUUCCUACCUGCCCCCGUCCCUCGCCUUCAGGCCCACCACCACCGGGACACCACUGAAAGCAGUGGUGGCCAGGGCUCUGGCCGGAAGAACCAGUCCACAGGUCCGAAGACCCGAGUUGCCACGUGGGUUCUGCCACAUGCUGUGUGCUCCUUGGCAAGUCAUUUUUCUUCUCUGCAGAACGGAGGUUCUCUGCCUCACCCCAUGCUCCCUCCUGCUGUCCUGCUCUGUUCCAAGUUUGAGUUCCUACCAGG
Molecule: long non-coding RNA, 652 nt
Organism: Lynx canadensis (Canada lynx)
Lineage: Eukaryota; Metazoa; Chordata; Mammalia; Carnivora; Felidae
Exons: 3
Source: RefSeq, a predicted model, not a curated record